AAAACCUAUAAAACCCAAAAUCCAUUUAAGUUCAUAAAUAAAAUCUAAAAUCUAUUUCAGUUCAUAAAUAAAACCCAAAAUCCACAACAAAACCCAAAUAAAUCUAGUCCAUAAAUAAAACCUAACUUAUCAAACCAUCAAAAGCCCAAAGCUACCAAACCCGUAUCAUUCAAAUGCCUCCAACCCAAACCAAAUUUAUCUAAAUUAAAAA
RNAcentral lists this long non-coding RNA (211 nucleotides) under Ananas comosus (pineapple). Its description in RNAcentral is "long non-coding RNA (ACOM_LNC039050)". The record is from RNAcentral. Lineage: Eukaryota; Viridiplantae; Streptophyta; Magnoliopsida; Poales; Bromeliaceae.